CAACAGGGAUUGCCCAGUAACGGCGAGUGAAGCGGCAACAGCUCAAAUUUGAAAUCUGGCCUUGUGCCCGAGUUGUAAUUUGUAGAGGAUGCUUUUGGCGACGCGCCUUCCGAGUUCCCUGGAACGGGACGCCAUAGAGGGUGAGAGCCCCGUCCGGUCGUGCGCCUAGCCUCUGUAAAGCUCCUUCGACGAGUCGAGUAGUUUGGGAAUGCUGCUCUAAAUGGGAGGUAUACGUCUUCUAAAGCUAAAUACCGGCCAGAGACCGAUAGCGCACAAGUAGAGUGAUCGAAAGAUGAAAAGCACUUUGAAAAGAGGGUUAAAUAGUACGUGAAAUUGCUGAAAGGGAAGCGCUUAUGACCAGACUUGGGCGCGGCGGAUCAUCCGGCGUUCUCGCCGGUGCACUCCACCGCCC
This 412-nucleotide ribosomal RNA is filed under the name Emericellopsis tubakii. RNAcentral's name for it is "eukaryotic LSU rRNA". It matches the Rfam family "Eukaryotic large subunit ribosomal RNA", at positions 66 to 490 of the family's 3401-position model. The record is from RNAcentral. Lineage: Eukaryota; Fungi; Ascomycota; Sordariomycetes; Hypocreales; Bionectriaceae.